AGCGAACGCUGGCGGCAGGCCUAACACAUGCAAGUCGAACGGAUCCUUCGGGAUUAGUGGCGGACGGGUGAGUAACACGUGGGAACGUGCCUUUUGGUUCGGAACAACUCAGGGAAACUUGAGCUAAUACCGGAUGUGCCCUUCGGGGAAGGAUUAUCGCCAUUAGAGCGGCCCGCGUCUGAUUAGCUUGUUGGUGAGGUAAAGGCUCACCAAGGCUACGAUCAGUAGCUGGUCNGAGAGGAUGAUCAGCCACACUGGGACUGAGACACGGCCCAGACUCCUACGGGAGGCAGCAGUGGGGAAUCUUGCGCAAUGGGCGAAAGACCUGACGCAGCAACGCCGCGUGGGGAGUGAAGGCUCUCGGGUUGUAAACCCCUUUCCAGCAGGGACGAUUAUGACGGUACCUGCAGAAGAAGGA
Molecule: ribosomal RNA, 418 nt
Filed under: uncultured bacterium
Lineage: Bacteria
Description: bacterial SSU rRNA
Rfam family: Bacterial small subunit ribosomal RNA
Source: RNAcentral